RNAcentral lists this ribosomal RNA (500 nucleotides) under uncultured bacterium. Its description in RNAcentral is "partial 16S ribosomal RNA". It matches the Rfam family "Bacterial small subunit ribosomal RNA", at positions 30 to 523 of the family's 1533-position model. The record is from RNAcentral.
AUUGAACGCUGGCGGAAUGCUUUACACAUGCAAGUCGAACGGCAGCACGGACUUCGGUCUGGUGGCGAGUGGCGAACGGGUGAGUAAUGUAUCGGAACGUGCCCAGUCGUGGGGGAUAACGUAGUGAAAAUUACGCUAAUACCGCAUACGAUCUAUGGAUGAAAGCGGGGGAUCGCAAGACCUCGCGCGAUUGGAGCGGCCGAUAUCAGAUUAGGUAGUUGGUGGGGUAAAGGCCCACCAAGCCAACGAUCUGUAGCUGGUCUGAGAGGACGACCCGCCACACGGGAACUGAGACACGGUCCAGACUCCUACGGGAGGCAGCAUUGGGGAAUUUUGGACAAGCGGCGAAAGCCUGAUCCAGCCAUUCCGCGUGCAGGAUGAAGGCCCUCGGGUUGUAAACUGCUUUUGUACAGAACGAAAAGGUUUCUACUAAUACUAGGAGCUCAUGACGGUACUGUAAGAAUAAGCACCGGCUAACUACGUGCCAGCAGCCGCAGUAA